AAUCUAUUAAUUCCUUACACUGUGCCAUUGCUAAGCGAUUUUGUGUGGAAUAUUUCACAUUUUGUUGAGGUUAUUCGUUUUGAAAUCAGUUGUAGAAAUGCUGUCACGUGAAGCUCCCAACACUGAAUGCAUCACAUCUUUAGCUGGUGUUAUAAAGAGAAAAGAAGAUGUUCCUGAAAUGUUGAGUGAGAACAAUGUGUCCAAAAUAUAUUCUGAUGAUGAAGAUUCUGAUAAAGAUGAUUUUGAUCCCAAAUUUACCAGGAUUUCUUGACGACUAUUACCGUAUUCGCAAAGACGUCACUGAAAAAUUAAAACAAUUUUCUUGGAUAAAUGGAUAUUGCGGGAUAACAGUCAACCCAGAACCACGUUUAUAUGUGACUGUAGUAAAGCAGAGAAAAAAUGAUGAAGAUUCUUUAAAGAAUGAGAUCAACGACAAAUUUGGAUGGAAAGCGUCUGAUUAUAUUGAUUUUCGUUAUGCCAACAGCUCAUUAGCGACGUUUCGAUAUUUGUCAACUCAAGCCAGUAAAGUAAG
This is a long non-coding RNA of Xenia sp. Carnegie-2017, 532 nucleotides long. RefSeq lists it as uncharacterized. NCBI's taxonomy places the organism in Eukaryota, Metazoa, Cnidaria, Anthozoa, Malacalcyonacea, Xeniidae. The transcript has 5 exons. The record is from RefSeq and is a predicted model, not a curated record.